CGCACAUUGCGCCCCUUGGUAUUCCAUGGGGCAUGCCUGUUCGAGCGUCAUUUGUACCCUCAAGCUCUGCUUGGUGUUGGGCGUUUGUUCCGCUUCGCGCGAGGACUCGCCUCAAAUCGAUUGGCAGCCGGCAGUCUGGUGUUUGAGCGCAGCACAUUUCGCGCUCUCCGCUGGACUGCGGCGUCCACAAGGCUACCAUCUAACGCUUGACCUCGGAUCAGGUAGGGAUACCCGCUGAACUUAA
Molecule: unclassified non-coding RNA, 244 nt
Filed under: Pleosporales sp.
Lineage: Eukaryota; Fungi; Ascomycota; Dothideomycetes; Pleosporales
Description: partial contains 5.8S ribosomal RNA, internal transcribed spacer 2, and large subunit ribosomal RNA
Source: RNAcentral